AGUGAACGCUGGCGGUAGGCCUAACACAUGCCAGUCGAACGGCAGCACAGUAAGAGCUUGCUCUUACGGGUGGCGAGUGGCGGACGGGUGAGGAAUACAUCGGAAUCUACUUUCUCGUGGGGGAUAACGUAGGGAAACUUACGCUAAUACCGCAUACGACCUACGGGUGAAAGCAGGGGAUCUUCGGACCUUGCGCGAUUGAAUGAGCCGAUGUCGGAUUAGCUAGUUGGCGGGGUAAAGGCCCACCAAGGCGACGAUCCGUAGCUGGUCUGAGAGGAUGAUCAGCCACACUGGAACUGAGACACGGUCCAGACUCCUACGGGAGGCAGCAGUGGGGAAUAUUGGACAAUGGGCGCAAGCCUGAUCCAGCCAUACCGCGUGGGUGAAGAAGGCCUUCGGGUUGUAAAGCCCUUUUGUUGGGAAAGAAAAGCAGCAGGUUAAUACCCCGCUGUUCUGACGGUACCCAAAGAAUAAGCACCGGCUAACUUCGUG
RNAcentral lists this ribosomal RNA (492 nucleotides) under uncultured bacterium. Its description in RNAcentral is "partial 16S ribosomal RNA". It matches the Rfam family "Bacterial small subunit ribosomal RNA", at positions 29 to 507 of the family's 1533-position model. The record is from RNAcentral.